UGAUCAUGGCUCAGAUUGAACGCUGGCGGCAGGCUUAACACAUGCAAGUCGAGCGGAGAGAGGUAGCUUGCUACUGAUCUUAGCGGCGGACGGGUGAGUAAUACUUAGGAAUCUGGCUAUUAGUGGGGGACAACAUUUCGAAAGGGAUGCUAAUACCGCAUACGUCCUACGGGAGAAAGCAGGGGAUCUUCGGACCUUGCGCUAAUAGAUGAGCCUAAGUCGGAUUAGCUAGUUGGUGGGGUAAAGGCCUACCAAGGCGACGAUCUGUAGCGGGUCUGAGAGGAUGAUCCGCCACACUGGGACUGAGACACGGCCCAGACUCCUACGGGAGGCAGCAGUGGGGAAUAUUGGACAAUGGGGGGAACCCUGAUCCAGCCAUGCCGCGUGUGUGAAGAAGGCCUUAUGGUUGUAAAGCACUUUAAGCGAGGAGGAGGGUACUGGUAUUAAUACUACCAGGUACUGGACGUUACUCGCAGAAUAAGCACCGGCUAACUCUGUGCCAGCAGCCGCGGUAAUACAGAGGGUGCGAGCGUUAAUCGGAUUUACUGGGCGUAAAGCGUGCGUAGGCGGCUAAUUGAGUCGGAUGUG
This 588-nucleotide ribosomal RNA is filed under the name uncultured bacterium. Its description in RNAcentral is "bacterial SSU rRNA". It matches the Rfam family "Bacterial small subunit ribosomal RNA", at positions 14 to 596 of the family's 1533-position model. The record is from RNAcentral.